Molecule: ribosomal RNA, 496 nt
Filed under: uncultured bacterium
Lineage: Bacteria
Description: partial 16S ribosomal RNA
Rfam family: Bacterial small subunit ribosomal RNA
Source: RNAcentral
GAUGAACGCUGGCGGCGUGCCUAAUACAUGCAAGUCGAGCGAACGGACGAGAAGCUUGCUUCUCUGAUGUUAGCGGCGGACGGGUGAGUAACACGUGGAUAACCUACCUAUAAGACUGGGAUAACUUCGGGAAACCGGAGCUAAUACCGGAUAAUAUUUUGAACCGCAUGGUUCAAAAGUGAAAGACGGUCUUGCUGUCACUUAUAGAUGGAUCCGCGCUGCAUUAGCUAGUUGGUAAGGUAACGGCUUACCAAGGCAACGAUGCAUAGCCGACCUGAGAGGGUGAUCGGCCACACUGGAACUGAGACACGGUCCAGACUCCUACGGGAGGCAGCAGUAGGGAAUCUUCCGCAAUGGGCGAAAGCCUGACGGAGCAACGCCGCGUGAGUGAUGAAGGUCUGCGGAUCGUAAAACUCUGUUAUUAGGGAAGAACAUAUGUGUAAGUAACUGUGCACAUCUGGACGGUACCUAAUCAGAAAGCCACGGCUAACUACGU